GUGGGGAAUAUUGGACAAUGGGCGCAAGCCUGAUCCAGCCAUGCCGCGUGAGUGAUGAAGGCCCUAGGGUUGUAAAGCUCUUUCACCGGAGAAGAUAAUGACGGUACCCGGAGAAGAAGCCCCGGCUAACUUCGUGCCAGCAGCCGCGGUAAUACGAAGGGGGCUAGCGUUGCUCGGAAUUACUGGGCGUAAAGGGCGCGUAGGCGGACAGUUUAGUCAGAGGUGAAAGCCCAGGGCUCAACCUUGGAAUUGCCUUUGAUACUGGCUGUCUUGAGUACGGGAGAGGUGAGUGGAACUCCGAGUGUAGAGGUGGAAUUCGUAGAUAGUAGGAAGAACACCAGUGGCGAAGGCGGCUCACUGGUCUGGUACUGACGCUGAGGUGCGAAAGCGUGGGGAGCAAACAGGAUUAGAAACCCCAGUAGUCC
RNAcentral lists this ribosomal RNA (425 nucleotides) under uncultured bacterium. RNAcentral's name for it is "partial 16S ribosomal RNA". It matches the Rfam family "Bacterial small subunit ribosomal RNA", at positions 354 to 796 of the family's 1533-position model. The record is from RNAcentral.